Molecule: non-coding RNA, 65 nt
Organism: Sciurus carolinensis (gray squirrel)
Lineage: Eukaryota; Metazoa; Chordata; Mammalia; Rodentia; Sciuridae
Source: the annotation of a RefSeq genome assembly
GAUAGCUCAGUCGGUAGAGUGCAUGCCUGGUAAGCAUAAGGCCCUGGGUUCGAUCCCCAGCACCA